CGGCGGACGGGUGAGUAAUGCCUAGGAAUCUGCCUGGUAGUGGGGGACAACGUUUCGAAAGGAACGCUAAUACCGCAUACGUCCUACGGGAGAAAGCAGGGGACCUUCGGGCCUUGCGCUAUCAGAUGAGCCUAGGUCGGAUUAGCUAGUUGGUGAGGUAAUGGCUCACCAAGGCUACGAUCCGUAACUGGUCUGAGAGGAUGAUCAGUCACACUGGAACUGAGACACGGUCCAGACUCCACGGGAGGCAGCAGUG
This 256-nucleotide ribosomal RNA is filed under the name uncultured Pseudomonas sp. RNAcentral describes it as "partial 16S ribosomal RNA". It matches the Rfam family "Bacterial small subunit ribosomal RNA", at positions 96 to 356 of the family's 1533-position model. Lineage: Bacteria; Pseudomonadati; Pseudomonadota; Gammaproteobacteria; Pseudomonadales; Pseudomonadaceae. The record is from RNAcentral.